GUUCAACGGCCGCGGUAUCCUAACCGUGCGAAGGUAGCGUAAUCACUUGUUCUUUAAAUGUGGACUAGUAUGAACGGCUUCACGAAGGUUAUACUGUCUCCUUUUUCUAAUCAGUGAAACUAAUUUCCCCGUGAAGAAGCGGGGAUAAAGCUAUAAGACGAGAAGACCCUAUGGAGCUUAAAACGACACAGCACUUACCAAAAAUUUUUAAUGUUUCUGUAACACUAAUUCUUUAAAGUAAAAUGACUGCAAGUUUUCGGUUGGGGUGACCACGGAGUAUAUCAUAACCUCCAUGUUGAAAGAAUUUCUUUCUAAGCCAAGAAUAACCAAUCUAAGCAUUAAUAAAUUAACAUCUAUUGACCCAAUAAAUUUGAUCAACGAACCAAGUUACCCUAGGGAUAACAGCGCAAUCCACUUCAAGAGCUCCUAUCGACAAGUGGGUUUACGACCUCGAUGUUGGAUCAGGGUAUCCCAGUGGUGCAGCCGCUACUAAAGGUUCGUUUGUUCAACGAUUAAAACCCUACGUGAUCUGAGUUUCAGAC
RNAcentral lists this ribosomal RNA (542 nucleotides) under Rhinella granulosa (granular toad). RNAcentral's name for it is "partial large subunit ribosomal RNA". It matches the Rfam family "Bacterial large subunit ribosomal RNA", at positions 1922 to 2617 of the family's 2925-position model. Lineage: Eukaryota; Metazoa; Chordata; Amphibia; Anura; Bufonidae. The record is from RNAcentral.